Molecule: ribosomal RNA, 253 nt
Filed under: uncultured bacterium
Lineage: Bacteria
Description: partial 16S ribosomal RNA
Rfam family: Bacterial small subunit ribosomal RNA
Source: RNAcentral
UACAGAGGUCCCGAGCGUUGUUCGGAUUCACUGGGCGUAAAGGGUGUGUAGGAGGUUACGUAAGUUAGAUGUGAAAUCCUGUGGCUCAACCACAGAACUGCGUUUAAUACUGCGUAGCUAGAGGGCUCGAGGGGAAAGUGGAAUUCUCGGUGUAGCGGUGAAAUGCGUAGAGAUCGAGAGGAACACCGGUGGCGAAAGCGACUUUCUGGAGAGCACCUGACUAUGAAACACGAAAGAUAGGGGAGCAAACGGG